Molecule: long non-coding RNA, 221 nt
Filed under: Mytilus galloprovincialis (Mediterranean mussel)
Lineage: Eukaryota; Metazoa; Mollusca; Bivalvia; Mytilida; Mytilidae
Source: RNAcentral
GGGGGGGGGCUAUGGUUUUUUUUUCUGGACAAAUUUUUUUUCUCGCCUGCGGCGAAAAACAAUCUAUUUUUUUCGCGACAAGUUGAAAACAAUUUUUUUCUUUCAAUUUUAGCAUUACAUAUAGUGGCAGCUGAGGGUGAAACAAACAAUUUUUUUUCUCAGAAUCAAAAACAAAUUAUUUUUUUCUCCAAAAACUGGAAACAAACUUUUUUUUCCAAAAA